GAAAUGCGAUAAUUAAUGUGAAUUGCAGAAUUCAGUGAAUCAUCGAGUCUUUGAACGCACAUUGCGCCCCCUGGUAUUCCGGGGGGCAUGCCUGUCCGAGCGUCAUUGCUGCCCUCAAGCACGGCUUGUGUGUUGGGCUUCCGUCCCUGGCAACGGGGACGGGCCCCAAAGGCAGUGGCGGCACCAUGUCUGGUCCUCGAGCGUAUGGGGCUUUGUCACCCGCUCCCGUAGGUCCAGCUGGCAGCUAGCCUCGCAACCAAUCUUUUUAACCAGGUUGACCUCGGAUCAGGUAGGGAUACCCGCUGAACUUAAGC
This 314-nucleotide unclassified non-coding RNA is filed under the name plant metagenome. RNAcentral's name for it is "partial contains 5.8S ribosomal RNA, internal transcribed spacer 2, and large subunit ribosomal RNA". The stretch from base 1 to 105 matches the Rfam family "5.8S ribosomal RNA", at positions 50 to 154 of the family's 154-position model. The record is from RNAcentral.